RNAcentral lists this ribosomal RNA (475 nucleotides) under uncultured bacterium. RNAcentral's name for it is "bacterial SSU rRNA". It matches the Rfam family "Bacterial small subunit ribosomal RNA", at positions 915 to 1391 of the family's 1533-position model. The record is from RNAcentral.
GGGGGCCCGCAAGCGGUGGAGCAUGUGGUUUAAUUCGAUGCAACGCGAAGAACCUUACCUACUCUUGACAUCCAGAGAACGUGGCAGAGAUGCUGUGGUGCCUUCGGGAACUCUGAGACAGGUGCUGCAUGGCUGUCGUCAGCUCGUGUUGUGAAAUGUUGGGUUAAGUCCCGCAACGAGCGCAACCCUUAUCCUUUGUUGCCAGCGCGUAACGGCGGGAACUCAAAGGAGACUGCCGGUGAUAAACCGGAGGAAGGUGGGGAUGACGUCAAGUCAUCAUGGCCCUUACGAGUAGGGCUACACACGUGCUACAAUGGCGUAUACAAACAGAAGCGACCUCGCGAGAGCAAGCGGACCUCAUAAAGUACGUCGUAGUCCGGAUUGGAGUCUGCAACUCGACUCCAUAAAGUCGGAAUCGCUAGUAAUCGUAGAUCAGAAUGCUACGGUGAAUACGUUCCCGGGCCUUGUACACACC